RNAcentral lists this ribosomal RNA (459 nucleotides) under uncultured bacterium. RNAcentral describes it as "partial 16S ribosomal RNA". It matches the Rfam family "Bacterial small subunit ribosomal RNA", at positions 339 to 795 of the family's 1533-position model. The record is from RNAcentral.
CUACGGGCCGCACCAGUAAGGAAUAUUGCGCAAUGGAGGCAACUCUGACGCAGCCAUGCCGCGUGCAGGAAGAAGGCCUUAUGGGUCGUAAACUGCUUUUAUUUAGGAAUAAACCCUCGCUCGUGAGCGAGGCUGAAGGUACUGAAUGAAUAAGCACCGGCUAACUCCGUGCCAGCAGCCGCAGUAAUACGGAGGGUGCAAGCGUUAUCCGGAUUUAUUGGGUUUAAAGGGUGCGCGGGCGGGCUAUUAAGUCAGUGGUGAAAUCCCGGGGCUAAACUCCGGAACUGCCAUUGAUACUGAUAGUCUUGAGUUUGGUUGAAGUGGGCGGAAUGUAGCAUGUAGCGGUGAAAUGCAUAGAUAUGCUACAGAACACCAAUCGCGAAGGCAGCUCACUAAGCCAAAGCUGACGCUCAUGCACGAAAGCGUGGGGAUCAAACAGGAUUAGAUACCCUGGUAGUC